RNAcentral lists this ribosomal RNA (258 nucleotides) under uncultured bacterium. Its description in RNAcentral is "partial 16S ribosomal RNA". It matches the Rfam family "Bacterial small subunit ribosomal RNA", at positions 524 to 777 of the family's 1533-position model. The record is from RNAcentral.
UACGGAGGGUGCAAGCGUUGUCCGGAAUCACUGGGCGUAAAGGGCGCGUAGGCGGCUCAUGAAGGCUGUGGUGAAAGUCCGGGGGCUCAACCUCGGAUCGGCCGUGGCGACUCGUGGGCUGGAGCACUGUAGAGGCGGGUGGAAUUCCGGGUGUAGCGGUGGAAUGCGUAGAGAUCCGGAAGAACACCAGUGGCGAAGGCGGCCCCGCUGGGCAGUGGCUGACGCUGAGGCGCGACAGCGUGGGGGAGCAAAACAGGG